This 1509-nucleotide ribosomal RNA is filed under the name Eucomonympha imla. Its description in RNAcentral is "SSU rRNA". It matches the Rfam family "Eukaryotic small subunit ribosomal RNA". The record is from RNAcentral. Lineage: Eukaryota; Parabasalia; Trichonymphida; Teranymphidae.
AAGGAAACGCACUCAGGUCAUAGCUUAAGCCAUGCAAGUCUCAGUUCAGGACUCCAAACUGCGAACAGCUCAUUGUGCGCUUAUUACCUACAUGGGAGCGACAUAGUCUUAUAUGGAUAGCUGCCGCAAAUCAGGAGCUAUUACACGCGAGUGUACCACUGUAAAUCAAGGAGCGGUGGCAAAGUUGACCCUUUAGGGCAACCCAUAUGGAUGAGCGGCCUAUCAGCUAUACCGUAGUGUUUUGGACUACGGUGGCUAUGACGGGGAACGGGCGGUGAGCGUCGGACUGCCGGAGAAGGAGCCUGAAAGACAGCUACUAUGUCUAUGGAUUGCAGCAGGCGCGAAACUUACCUCAUCGCGACGCGCGGAGGUGGUAAUGACCAGUCCGUCUGGGGCCUUCGGGCCACUCUCGGUAGGACGGCGAAUAGAUGCUGUCGAGUAAUCAAGCAGAGGGCCAGUCUGGUGCCAGCAGCCGCGGUAAUUCCAGCUCUGUUUGUGCGUUCCCAUAUUGCUGUAGUUAAAACGCCCGUAGUCAGAGGUCAAGAACACGGCUUGGCCGCCCACCGUGAUUAAAUCAAGACGCCUAGAGUAGCUCUAGCAGAAUGGUCUAGCACGGGCUGGGGACUUUGCCCGCAAGGGUAAGGUCAUGGGAGAUCAUUGGGGAUAGUCGUAUGCCUUGGCGAGCGGUGAAAUGCAUUGACCCUUGGCAGACGCCCAACAGCGAAAGCAGCUAUCCAGAUGGUCUUCGUCGAUCAAGGGUGGGAGUGGGGGUAGCGAACCGGAUUAGAGACCCGGGUAGUCCCCACCGUAAACGAUGUCGACAGCGGAUGGGAGGCUUCGGCUUUCCGGACGCGACGACAAAUCGAGUUCCUGGACUCUAGGGGAACUACGAUCGCAAGACUGAAACUUGAAGGAAUUGACGGAAGGGCACACCAGGGGUGGAACUUGCGACGUAAUUGACUCAACGCGGGGAAACUUACCAGGAUAAGCAAGCAGCGGUGAUGGACCCUCUCAAGGGGGUUCCGGAGCGCUUUAGGGUGAUGCAUGGCCAUUGGUGGUGCGUGGGUUGACUUGUCUAAGUUGAUUCAGAUAACGAGCGAGAUGACCGCUGGCUAUUCCGAUGUCGCUAACUAGGUGAUUGAGGUUAACCAGGACAGCCCUCUAAUAAGGGGGAGGAAGGAGGUCGUAAUAAUAGGUCCGUGAUGUCCCUUAGAUACCCUGGGCAGCACGCGUGUUACACUGGUACUGGGAGAGAGCUGCGCUCCCCAGAGGGCUUGAGCAACCCUCUAAUUGGUACCGUGGUGAGGAUCGGGGCUUGUAAUGAGCCCCGUGAAUCAGGAAUCCCUUGUAAGCGUGUGUCAACAUCGCACGCUGAAUACGUCCCUGCCCUUUGUACACACCGCCCGUCGCUCCUACCGAUUGGAUGACCUGGUGAAGGCACUGGAAGCUUCGGCCGAAGGUGUCUGAGCCAGGGCGUCUAGAGGAAGGAGAAGUCGUAACAAGGUAACA